AAAGAGCUAGGGUUGAGUUUUGUGACGAUCCCAAUUAUCACGUGAAACACGGAGACUUCUUCUCCUUUCUCUCAAAUCACUCGGCCAGAGCCACCUCCUUCAACUGUCUCCGCCUUUCUCUUCUCCUCAUUGUCUCAAUUGGAUUUCGCUGCAACUCAACCUUCCACUUCCCGUCCAAAUCGCCGAUGAAACUUCGAUCUUCUCCGAUCAACUAUUCUUCUUCCUUCUAUUUCUCUAUGUAUUCAUUGUUGAUUUUGCGAUUAAGAGAAGCAAUGAUGCGUUGGCGAUGCUGA
Molecule: non-coding RNA, 293 nt
Organism: Vicia faba (fava bean)
Lineage: Eukaryota; Viridiplantae; Streptophyta; Magnoliopsida; Fabales; Fabaceae
Source: the annotation of a GenBank genome assembly